Tarenaya hassleriana is the source of this 1058-nucleotide long non-coding RNA. RefSeq lists it as uncharacterized. Lineage: Eukaryota; Viridiplantae; Streptophyta; Magnoliopsida; Brassicales; Cleomaceae. The transcript has 3 exons. The record is from RefSeq and is a predicted model, not a curated record.
CUUCGCUCUUCUUUGUCAAUGUUCGAACUUUUGAUUCUAGCUUCGUAUUUUGAUGUUAUUUGUUCUUAUCCGCAUAAAAAAUGUUCCGUGGGAAAACAUCGGCUUGAUCGGAUUAUUGCCAUUUUCUUUCGUCUUUUUUCAAGGAAUCUGUUGUUAAGUUUAGUUUAGGUUUGGUUUGCAUGUAACCUGUGGAUUCGAUAGCUAAGAUGCCAUAUGAUGUUUGGGACAUUUUGCGCAAGGGCUUUGAGUUCCUGAAGAUUUGGAUGACGUAAUCUGAGGAGCAGUGAGAAGUCAUUUAUUUUCAUAUCCCGACUGAUGGCUCAUAAUCCCUGUUAUGAGGUGAAAUGUCAGUUUCAUAAUCUGAUCUGUGAGUUUCCCAGAUCUUUUAAGAUUCUGAUUCUUGAAUUGUUUUGCCUGUGAUGUCUGAGAAUUCUUCGCAAGGGCUUUGAGUUAAUGCUGUAGUCUGCGCAAGAACAGUGAAAACUGAUUUACUUUUUGUAUCCCAUCUGAUGGCACUUGAUUACUGUCCAAUUGUAAAAGUGAAGUUCGGGGUUUUUUUCUGACCUAGAAUUUGAAACAUACAGCGUCCUGGUCUCGAGAACUAUUUGCUGUGUUUGAGAGAUUUGUGCAGGGCUUUGCGAAGGUAUAUAAUGUUUAAGUGAUGGGACUGUGAAAAGUCCAUCGUUGUUGUCUUGCUUUAUGGUAGCAGGAAUGUCUCCAGAACUCGGUAAAGAACCUUCUACCUAAAGGUCGAUGAAGCAGUGUGUUAAAGAUUGAGCUUCCUGGUGGCAAUCUCUGCCUUCUGGAUUUGGCCUUUUUGCAGGCUGCAACUAUUCCCAGGAAUAUUGCAGGGGCCAAAUGCUUCCUAAGGCAGAAAGGGGUCAGAUCGAAAAGCCCUCUCGUUUAACCAGUUGGAUGACCACUCAAAUGAUCUUUUCCCUUUGAUCUAUGAGAAAGAUUCAAUCUUGCAUUGCAUGUCCUCUGUAUUUUCCUCUGUGGUUGCUUGAUUGACAAGAAAAGAUUUUGCUUCAAAAUGGAAUAUAAAAACAACUGCAUCA